RNAcentral lists this ribosomal RNA (614 nucleotides) under Russula sp. 14 KA-2019. Its description in RNAcentral is "partial large subunit ribosomal RNA". It matches the Rfam family "Eukaryotic large subunit ribosomal RNA", at positions 77 to 663 of the family's 3401-position model. The record is from RNAcentral. Lineage: Eukaryota; Fungi; Basidiomycota; Agaricomycetes; Russulales; Russulaceae.
UCCCUAGUAACUGCGAGUGAAGCGGGAAAAGCUCAAAUUUAAAAUCUGGUGGUCUUUGGCCAUCCGAGUUGUAAUUUAGAGAAGCGUUUUCCGCGCUGGACCGUGCACAAGUCUCCUGGAAUGGAGCGUCAUAGAGGGUGAGAAUCCCGUCUUUGGCACGGACAUGCCAGGGCUUUUGUGAUGCGCUCUCGAAGAGUCGAGUUGUUUGGGAAUGCAGCUCAAAAUGGGUGGUGAACUCCAUCUAAAGCUAAAUAUUGGCGAGAGACCGAUAGCGAACAAGUACCGUGAGGGAAAGAUGAAAAGCACUUUGGAAAGAGAGUGAAACAGUACGUGAAAUUGUUGAAAGGGAAACGCUUGAAGUCAGUCACGUCGACCGAGACUCAGCCUCGCCUCGGCUUGGUGUACUUCUCGGCUGACGGGUCAGCAUCAAUUUUGCCCCUUGGAUAAUGGUGAGGGAAAUGUGACACCUUUACGGUGUGUUAUAGUCUCUUGUCGCAUGCAAGGGUCGGGAUUGAGGAACUCAGCACGCGCCUUUGGGUGUCGGGGCCUUUUGCCCACGAUACGUGCUUAGGAUGUUGGCAUAAUGGCUUUAAACGACCCGUCUUGAAAACACG